UACGGGGGGAGCAAGCGUUGUUCGGAUUUACUGGGCGUAAAGGGCGCGUAGGCGGCGCCGCAAGUCGACUGUGAAAUCUCCGGGCUUAACUCGGAAAGGUCAGCCGAUACUGCGGGGCUAGAGUGCAGAAGGGGCAACUGGAAUUCUCGGUGUAGCGGUGAAAUGCGUAGAUAUCGAGAGGAACACCUGCGGCGAAGGCGGGUUGCUGGGCUGACACUGACGCUGAUGCGCGAAAGCUAGGGGAGCGAACGGG
Molecule: ribosomal RNA, 253 nt
Filed under: uncultured bacterium
Lineage: Bacteria
Description: partial 16S ribosomal RNA
Rfam family: Bacterial small subunit ribosomal RNA
Source: RNAcentral